Molecule: unclassified non-coding RNA, 756 nt
Filed under: Hevea brasiliensis (rubber tree)
Lineage: Eukaryota; Viridiplantae; Streptophyta; Magnoliopsida; Malpighiales; Euphorbiaceae
Source: RNAcentral
GGCGCGACAAGGCCCCAACACCAAGCUACAAGAUGCAGCAACUAAUGAGGUUUCAGGGUGUACAAUAAAUGCAAGACAUGUAGGGUUGAGGCAUUUUUGAAGCUUUGCCAAGUGCAUUUCAUGAAAGAAUUAUAUGCAUGUACUUUCACUUUGGUUCGAGCUGGGAAAACUAAGAUCCUAUUUCCAGAACUCAUAGACAAUGUAGGAUUUUUACAAGUGUUUCCAUGCAUAAAGAUACAGGCAAUAAUAUGGUGUGAACUCUAGCAAAAUUCGAAGGAUGGGCAUACACUAAAAACAGCUUCCGUUCACCAUGAAAACCUGCCGAGCUGUGUUUUCAUGAGUUCUCAGUUUGUUUAUUUCCACAAACAAGGCAUGUAUAGAAGAUAGUUUGCCCUUCAUCAGCAGAUCUAAUCUGUCUGGCUAUGUAUGACAUGCCUAAAUGCUGACAACCUUUACAUUUUGCAUUAUAAUCCAUUUGCUUUAGUUCUUUCUCUUCUUCAAGAUCAUCAAACGAAGAUAUUCCCAAUUCCCUUUUAAUAGCCUCAGCAGAAACGGUAUACUGUAUCUCGUUUCCAGCGAUCUCUUUGACACGUUUCUUGAAUUUGCAUAAGGGACAUCGAGCAUACUUGGGUGAAUCAAAAGCAAGCAUUGUUCCACACAUUUCACAGAACAUAAAAUCUCUCUGUCGACAGUAUGCCAUAUUUGUAACAACUGGCUGAAGAACAAAGAGCAAUUUUCACUUCAGUUGAGGCGUUU